RNAcentral lists this long non-coding RNA (206 nucleotides) under Prunus persica (peach). RNAcentral's name for it is "long non-coding RNA (PPER_LNC004629)". The record is from RNAcentral. Lineage: Eukaryota; Viridiplantae; Streptophyta; Magnoliopsida; Rosales; Rosaceae.
UGUAUUGCAUAGUUUUAUCCAUUGCAUUUCACUCCAACCUCACAAAAUGACUCAUCCCACCAUAUUGUGAUGUUGACCAAGUUUUGGGCUCAAUCAGAUAUUGAUUGAACCAUAAAAUUGGACAAUUCAAGUUCAUACGAAGUUCGUUCUGUAAAUGGAGUGGUUGGUGUAUUGCAUAGUUUUAACCAUUGGAUUUCACUCAAAAC